Triticum aestivum (bread wheat) is the source of this 134-nucleotide non-coding RNA. NCBI's taxonomy places the organism in Eukaryota, Viridiplantae, Streptophyta, Magnoliopsida, Poales, Poaceae. The record is from Rfam.
CUGGUACUCCCUCCGUCCGAAAAUACUUGUCAUCAAAAUGGAUAAAAAGAGAUGUAUCUAAAACUAAAAUACGUUUAGAUACAUUUCCUUUUACCAUUUUGAUGACAAGUAUUUCCGGACGGAGGGAGUACUAG